GGGGUUGUGGCUCAGUGGUAGAGCCUCACAUGUGAGGUACUGGGUUCGAUCCUCAGCACCACA
This 63-nucleotide transfer RNA is filed under the name Marmota monax (woodchuck). RNAcentral describes it as "tRNA.Undet". Lineage: Eukaryota; Metazoa; Chordata; Mammalia; Rodentia; Sciuridae. The record is from RNAcentral.